CAGAAAAGCCUGGUGUGCGCUCCUCUCUUGUGUUCCCUUGCUGCAUUUUCUAGCAGUUUUUAGACGUAAAAGGGCUCAAAUAUUCUCAACUUUCCCUCGAUAUCGAACCUCAAUAUUCACAGCAAUAUUUGAAGCAGCCGUGUAGCGUCGAGUCCCGAUGUGAUCAGAACAUCAAACAUUUCAGAACAAUGAGGCAAAUAAAAUCAAAAAUCAUCUAAAGAAAAACAGGCAACAAUAAUAUGAAGGAAAACACCAAUGAGAGGAAAACAGAUGAUGUAAUCAAGAAGAGUGCUCACGCCUAUAAAAAAGUGUUUAUUAUGAAAUCGCAAAACACAUAUUUCUCUUCAAAGAGUCGGAGCUGACGUCUCUCAGAUCCCCAAACAGAUUCCUCUCAUUGAAGUGAAUGAGUCAGCGGGCACAUCUCAGUGUGAAAGGGGGCUUUUGUUGCCGGGCAGAAACACAACACGUCUCGAUCUGAGCCGCUCUUCAUGAGCACCGUGCUUCAUUUUCACUGCGUGGGAGGAAUCAGAGCGGCUGCCGUCACCAAACAACACUGUAGCUGCUGUCCGCGUCCGUCUCAUUCAGAUGUUUGGUCUCGUUCGGCGCCAGUUGGACACAUUUUUCGAGACAAGCGGCCUCUGUUUUACUGAGAAACCAUGCUAAUGUUCCUCUUCUGCCCCUUCUUGGUUUGGGUUGAUUGGCAGGUGUCCAUUGAAGCGCGGCUGAAAGAGUUUCCUGUCCUCACAAAGCCGGCGAGCCAGCAGGAAGACGUCGCAGUGCGGAUGCCUCUGUAAUAUGAGCGAGGACUUAAAGCUGUCAUUCAAAUCUCAGCGUGACCUUUAGGAGGGAGAAAAAAAAAAAAGGCUGUUUUUCACCCAGUUUGGAGGCAGACGGUGGAGGAAGUUUAAUGUGCGCGCAGCUUCUGUCUUUGUGAGAACCGACCUGAGCGAGUGCAACCAAAGCCGACGGACUGACAGCUGCAGCGAUCUGAUUCUCUUUGAGCCGGGAUGAAGCUGUAAUUUCAUCCACACGAGACAAUCAAACAUCGGGAUGUGGAUUUGAGUCGCGCUUGCCCACGAGCGAUCCCCGGCAGUCUGAAGGGUCGCCGGCGUC
This is a long non-coding RNA of Acanthopagrus latus (yellowfin seabream), 1113 nucleotides long. RefSeq lists it as uncharacterized. NCBI's taxonomy places the organism in Eukaryota, Metazoa, Chordata, Actinopteri, Spariformes, Sparidae. The record is from RefSeq and is a predicted model, not a curated record. The transcript is spliced from 3 exons.